RNAcentral lists this ribosomal RNA (501 nucleotides) under uncultured bacterium. Its description in RNAcentral is "bacterial SSU rRNA". It matches the Rfam family "Bacterial small subunit ribosomal RNA", at positions 30 to 504 of the family's 1533-position model. The record is from RNAcentral.
CGAACGCUGGCGGCGUGCUUAACACAUGCAAGUUCAACGAGAAAGUAUCCUUCGGGGUGCGAGUACAGUGGCGAACGGGUGAGUAACACGUGGGUAACCUACCCUCGAGAGUGGAAUAACCCUGCUAACGCGGGGCUAAUACCGCAUAAUGCAGCGGCACCACAUGGUGAUGUUGUUAAAGGCGGGGAUCCUUCGGGACCUGUCGCUUGAGGAUGGACCCGCGUUCCAUUAGCUUGUUGGCGGGGUAACGGCCCACCAAGGCUGCGAUGGAUAGCCGACCUGAGAGGGUGGCCGGCCACACUGGGACUGAGAUACGGCCCAGACUCCUACGGGAGGCAGCAGUGAGGAAUUUUGCGCAAUGGCCUAACGGCUGACGCAGCAACGCCGCGUGAACGAUGAAGCUCUUCUUGAGUGUAAAGUUCUGUUAGGAGGGAAGAACCGGCUGGUAGCUAAUACUUACUGGCCCUGACGGUACCUCCAGAGAAAGCGCCGGCUAACUUC